Sapajus apella (tufted capuchin) is the source of this 733-nucleotide long non-coding RNA. RefSeq lists it as uncharacterized. The record is from RefSeq and is a predicted model, not a curated record. Lineage: Eukaryota; Metazoa; Chordata; Mammalia; Primates; Cebidae. The transcript is spliced from 2 exons.
GCUUGUUUCAGCUCUUUAGUUUCUUGGAUACCUUCAUGAUAUCCCUUCUAACGCAUGCUCUGUUAAGGCCAAGCAAUCCUGGCAUGGGCGCUAUCAGCCACGGCCCUGUGAGGGACCUGCAGAGUUUUAAAAACAGCACCAUGACACUGGCUGCAACUGGCCUUUCUCCCACACCCACACGUGCACAGAGCUCUGCUAGCUCGUCUUCAUCCUGGAUGGGAAAGAAAAACAAAAAGGAAGGAGGAGGGCGUGAGAGCAAACCAUGCCUGUGUUCUUGAGGUAGCUGUCUCGAUUUUUUGCUGGGUGAGGAAUCGAUGGAGCAAUGAAUAGGUAAAUACACAGACAGGUGAAUGGAUGGACGCAUACAUCUAUUACUCAACAGUGAGAAAUCCCACAAAAUGAACACCAAUUGUAGGAAAACGCUGUUCUUCCAUCCAGCCUUCUAAUUAGCAUUCAUCCGGGCCUCUAUCACAGAAACUGCAGGUACAGUGAGUGAGCUCUGCUCUGAGCUAGGGCCCUAUCCUCAGAUAUGGAUGCCUCUGGAAUCCUUCCUGCAUGGAGGACUGGGAAUUCUCUUGGACCUGAAGAGCCAAUAAAUACCCCUCCUCUGGAUGGACAUUUGUCUUCACCAAGAACACAGCUCAUCUGGGCUUUCUUGAGGGCUAGGAUGGUGUUUACAAUGAUGAUGACAAUUUCUGUUUUAUGCAAAGAAUCGUUAUUUUAGCCUAAGCUG